UUUUAACGGAGAGUUUGAUUCUGGCUCAGAACGAACGCUGGCGGCGUGGAUAAGACAUGCAAGUCGGACGGGAUUACUUUUGGUAGCAAUACC
RNAcentral lists this ribosomal RNA (93 nucleotides) under Verrucomicrobiota bacterium. RNAcentral describes it as "Verrucomicrobia bacterium partial 16S ribosomal RNA". It matches the Rfam family "Bacterial small subunit ribosomal RNA", at positions 1 to 92 of the family's 1533-position model. Lineage: Bacteria; Pseudomonadati; Verrucomicrobiota. The record is from RNAcentral.